UAAAAAUGCAUUAAUUUGAAUAUUGCAACUUAGGCAGUAAUGUGUGUCACAAAUGAUAUUAUGAUUCUUUAGUAGCAAACUGUUAGGGAUUAUAUAAUUCUGUUUUUUUGGGGGGAUGUGUAUGCACAUGUGUGCACAUGCAUAAUCACAUGUGUGUAUAUUUCAUGCACACUAGAAAUCUACUUUGGGCUGCUUCAUCCUUCGUUUUGUAACAAUGUCUCUUGUUUGGCCUAAUAUCCUUGGGUAGACUUGCUUGCUGGUCAGGGAACCCCAUGUCUUUGCCUGCUCUGUCCUGGGCUUACAAGUGUGCAUGGCCAUGCCUUUUUUGUUUGUUUGUUUAUAAAGUUUUUAAAAAUUUGUCUGUUUUGGAGGUCCAGCUCAGGUUAACCCAAGCUUUCUCUUUACUUAUUAAUUCUGUUUUAUAAAACAGUUGCUUAUAAAUUGUUUGGGGACUGGAGAGAUGGCUCAGCGGUUAGAGUACUGACUGUUCUUCCAGAGUUCAAUUCCCAGGAACCACAUGGUGGCUCACAACCGUCUGUGAUGGGAUCUGAUGCCCUCAGACAUACCUGUCUGAGGAGAGUGACAGUGUACUCACAUACAAUCAAUCAAUCAAUCAAUCAAUCAGCCAAUCUUCAAAAAAGUUUUGCUUGAUCUGACGUAAAAUUGGUUGUGUCCAGCACUGACUUUUUCCCUGUUUGCUUUUUGUUUUUUCAAAUCAGGGUUUCUUUGUGUAACGUCCCUGGCUGUCCUGGAACUCACAUUAUAGACUAGGCUGGCCUCAAACUCACAGAGAUCCACCUGCCUCUUCCUUCCAAGUGCUGGGAUUACAGGCAUGGACCACAUCACAAUAGGAAUUUUUUGCUUUUUGUUAUCUGCCACAGUUAGAGUUGUACACUUUAGAAACAUCUCUAAAUCCAUUUUAUAGAUUUGUUUGCUGGCACGUUUGAUCCCAUUACAGGGGAAGCUGAGACAGGAAGAUCAUGAAUUUCAGGCCAUCCUGGGCUAUAUAUAGGGAGACUGUCACAGUUUGUUUUUAGUCCUCUACAGCUGUUGGUUGUGUGAUCAGCCUUACAGAUUUGUAUUCUUUGUCCCAUGUGCUACUGGGAGAAUGUUUACAUUGUCUAUUUUUUUUUAAUUGCUUUUUUUAUUUUAUGAAUAUGAGUGGUUUACUUGCAUGUAUUUAACUGAAUCAUGUGUGUGCUUGAUGCCCAUGGAGGGCAAAAGAGAAUGUCAAAUUUUCUGGAACUGGACAAUUGUAAGCUGCUGUGUGGGUGCUGGAAAUUGAACCCAGGUCCUCUGGAAGAGCAGUGUGCACUCUUACCACUGAGCCAUCUCUCAAGUCCUACAUUGUCUCCCUUUCUCUUUUUCUUUCUCUCCCUCCCUUUCCCUCUCUCAUGGUUUUUUGUUGUUGUUUCAUGAUCUCUUAAUGUAGCCCUGACUGUCCUGGAACUCAGUAUGUGGACCAGGCUGGCCUGAGACUUACAGCCAUCCUACUCCUCAGUGCUGAGAGUGAGGUGACUCCUACACUGCCUUUAUAAUCCCCAGAAGUGAAGAAAGGGAAGGAAGCCCAGAGCCAAGACGCCUUCACCUGCAUAUGCCCCUUGAUUUGUAGGUUGGUUUUUUCCUCCCUUGCAGUAUGCACUCCAAAUUGUGUAAAAACCUGUCUUUCUACAAUUAAAAGACAUAGGGAAAUGAAGAGCAAAAGGAAAUGUAAGUUUUUAGUUUGUGUUUAACGUAAAAUGGGAAUAAAAAUAGAAUAGUGAAUGAGUUUGUGUGUAAUGUCAGAUUUAGUUUAUCAUGAUAACCAUCAGUGGUGCACCAGAUGUGUUGACUGUAUUUAGCUUCAUAUUAAAUUAAGCACAGCUAGUGGCCUGCAGAGUCCAUCUGUAUAGCUGACUAGGACUUAUGUUUGUUGCUAAUGCUGUUAGAUUUUCUUGCCAUGAUAUUUGGACUUUAAAUUGUUUGUGCAAAGGUGAGUCUUUGUAUUGGAUUGAAAACUGUAUUUUGUAAAUCAGCUGUGCUAAAUAAAGAGGCUUUUAUUUCAAUAGGCAAUCAGUUUUUAUCUUUGGUUACUUAUAAAGGAGUGGAAUCAAAUCAAAUAAAUAAGAUCAGUUAAGGGCUUUUUUGAAGCCUGAAAUCUAGAGAGAGGAAACUAUUACACACAAAUACUAGUUAAACAUGACCUCGGACUUCUUUUGUUAUAUGUAUGUGUGUAUGUGUUUCACAGAUAUGUAUAUGAAAACAACUUACUGAUUUUUGUCACAGAAAUAUGUCAUGGAGCUGAAAAGCUUUUACUUUUAUCAAGAUCAGUGUAAAUCAUUGUCGUGCUUUGUAUGGACCCGGGAUGCUUUGUUUCUUGAUAUCAUUUUAUCAGCAUCACCAGAACCGAGGGCUUUUUCCCCUGGGGUCAGGGCAAAACAUUCUUCUCUGUGUUCCUAGCAAGAGGGUCCUUUGAGAUGGUAGACCUUGCAGAUCACACAGCUUCUCCCAUGUGUGCCUUUCCUAGAACAGCAUUUUGGACAUCUCCGGAAUUAGAUCUAUAAAGCAUGGUUCAUGCCAAAAAUUAUAUCUUGAAAUUUUUAUCAUAAUGUUGCUUUUUAAAGUCCUAAAUGUCCUCUAUUUAAAAUGAAAUUCUUUUGUAUUAACCUUCUUUCAUAUGCUAGCUUUCACCAGACUGCAGGAUUGCCUGAUUUGACUUUCUAAUGUAACUGUAAUGAAUCUUCUGGGAAGCCUAACGAUUGGACACACACAUUCUGCAACUCCAUUGUAAAAUAUUCAGUCAGAUGUUGCUG
Molecule: long non-coding RNA, 2792 nt
Filed under: Mus musculus (house mouse)
Lineage: Eukaryota; Metazoa; Chordata; Mammalia; Rodentia; Muridae
Description: long non-coding RNA chr4:150331359-150334151
Source: RNAcentral